RNAcentral lists this long non-coding RNA (361 nucleotides) under Prunus dulcis (almond). RNAcentral describes it as "sRNA ncRNA". Lineage: Eukaryota; Viridiplantae; Streptophyta; Magnoliopsida; Rosales; Rosaceae. The record is from RNAcentral.
AUGGAUACUGACUUCGAUCUAAUUAACAUUCUGGUUCACUUGGGCAACAAAAAAGAACACUCAACACGUGGUUUUUGGUUCAAAAGAGAAUGUUGCAGUUUGAGAUUUGUCAUGCUAUGUGGUCUCCACAUGCACCAGAGAGCUCAGCAGCAUUCAAAAUUAUGCAGUUUUAACUGGAGCAUCUUGAAAGUAUUGAUCUUCCACCCUCUCUCUCUCUCUCUCACACACACACACACACACAUCACACAAAUAGGAAAUAUACCUCUCUCUCUAUUGUUUUUUAUGCAUCAAAUUCUUGCCAAAACUGAACAAGGAAACACAACCACCACCAACUGAAUUAGAUUUAUAUUCCAUUUGGUGA